Molecule: long non-coding RNA, 1392 nt
Organism: Sitodiplosis mosellana (orange wheat blossom midge)
Lineage: Eukaryota; Metazoa; Arthropoda; Insecta; Diptera; Cecidomyiidae
Exons: 3
Source: RefSeq, a predicted model, not a curated record
GAAUAUUUCUUCUUUGUUUUAAAUAUUUCUAUCGAUAAGAUUGAGAGUAGAGCAUAUUUGAAUGAUUUUGUAUUGGAAGAAAUCUCCAAUCCAGAAAAAUCAUUCCAAUUUUUGUUUGAAUCCAAUUUUCAUUUCCAUGCAGCAAAAGGAACUAUCGAUCAAAGAUGCAAACGGUAUUUUUUAUGCAGAGCACUUGUUGCGAGUUCCCAAAUUAUCUUAUGAUAAUGACUUGAGCGAAUCCAAUAUAUUAAAUCCGCAAUUUAUUCGAAACGCUCAUUUGUACGUGAGAUGUAUGUUUUGGUUAAUCAUUGUUUAGAAAUUUGUGGCCUUCAUGGUAUGACGGACUUGGUUCGGUUUGAUAGCCCAACUUUUUUUAAAGGCAUCGAUUUCUUCGAUCUCAUCCAUACGGCAAAAUUGGAAUUCUUAUUCAAGUGAAUGUUUGAAAAAAAAAAUCGAAAAAGAAUAAAACUAUAGAAAAUGUACUUACAGUUAUAAUUUUCAAUUUACUGGCUACCUCACCCUGCUUUUAUAUGUAUCAAAUGAGAAAAUCUUAACAAAGUCAAUUCUCAUAUCGAAAGUAAACACAAAACUUGUGAUACCAAUUUUGCACGAAUAAUUUCCGAGCGAUUUCAAUGUGCCAAUUUUGCAUUUCUUCAACUAAUUUUUACAUCGCUCCCAGUGUAUCCCAGUAAACCACAUAUUUCGUAAGAGAAUCUUAAGAGGAUUUCGAACUAAAAUCAUGACAUAAAUGUGAAGUGUGGUCAUUUAUGUCAUGAUAACCAUUUAAAAAAUUACUUCAGUUAAAUUGGGUUUCAGAAUUUGUGCUGCAAUCAUCAUUUUACUGAACAUGAGCCGCAUGUAUGUGGAUCCACUUGAACGCUUUGUAUCAAAUGCAAUGUGCUAUUUCAGCGAAUUCUAGUUCAUUAUUCAGCUGAACGUUCUAUAGUGAGGAUCGUGCAAAAAAGUUUUAUUAUUUUGCAAUCAUUGUCAUUGAUUUAUUAAAAUGGCUUCAAAAAUAUCAACAAAAAAACUGACCGAAUCGGAAAGUGGUGAAAUUGAUGCCAAAAAAGAAGAAGCAAACGGUAAAGAGGAGCAACUGAAAGGAGAUGAAAAAGCAGUAUCGGUAUCUGAAAGCAGUAAUUCAUCAACUAAAAAUGACGAUACAACUUCGACUGCUCGUUCGAUGUCAGAAUAUGUUGAUGAGAUAAAUAAAACGUUUGGUGACGCAUCGUUGACGAAAAAAACCAUUUCUGAAGUAAUAAACAGUGAUUUCAUGAAACAACUUGCUGCUGAUACAGAAAAUUUAACCGAAGAAGAAAAAUUGAAAAUGUGGGAAGGCUACUCUCUCGAAGAUGUUUAUGGGUUUUAGAUAAAAAUGACAUAAAUUGUUCA